RNAcentral lists this ribosomal RNA (323 nucleotides) under Salmonella enterica subsp. enterica. Its description in RNAcentral is "partial 23S ribosomal RNA". It matches the Rfam family "Bacterial large subunit ribosomal RNA", at positions 1326 to 1649 of the family's 2925-position model. Lineage: Bacteria; Pseudomonadati; Pseudomonadota; Gammaproteobacteria; Enterobacterales; Enterobacteriaceae. The record is from RNAcentral.
AAGCUCGCACGCCGGAAGACCAAGGGUUCCAGUCCAACGUUAAUCGGGGCUGGGUGAGUCGACCCCUAAGGCGAGGCCGAAAGGCGUAGUCGAUGGGAAAUCGGUUAAUAUUCCGAUACUUGUUUAUGAUGCGAUGGAGGGACGGAGAAGGUUAUGCCAGCUUGGCGAUGGUUGUCCAAGUGGAAGGAUGUAGUUAGGUUUAGUAGGCAAAUCCGCUAGACUAUUAAUGAGAUCUGAUAGCAAGCUGUACUUGUACAGCGAAGUGGCAAAUACCCUGCUUCCAGGAAAAGCUUCUAAGCGAUAGUCAUAAAGAAAUCGUACCC